RNAcentral lists this ribosomal RNA (433 nucleotides) under uncultured bacterium. RNAcentral describes it as "partial 16S ribosomal RNA". It matches the Rfam family "Bacterial small subunit ribosomal RNA", at positions 29 to 507 of the family's 1533-position model. The record is from RNAcentral.
AGCGAACGCUGGCGGCAGGCUUAACACAUGCAAGUCGAGCGGGCCCUCCGGGGUCUGCGGCAGACGGGUGAGUAACACGUGGGAACGUACCCUUUGGUUCGGAAUACCUCUGGGAAACUAGCGCUAAUACCGGAUACGCCCUUUUGGGGUAAGGCUUUCUGCCGCAGGUUGGGCCCGCGUCUGAUUAGCUAGUUGGUAGGGUAAUGGCCUACCAAGGCGACGAUCAGUAGCUGGUCUGAGAGGAUGAUCAGCCACACUGGGACUGAGACACGGCCCAGACUCCGACGGAAGGGAGCAGUGGGGAAUAUUGGACAAUGGGGGCAGGCCUGAUCCAGCCAUGCCGCGUGAGUGAUGAAGGCCUUAGGGUUGUAAAGCUCUUUUGUCCGGGACGAUAAUGACGGUACCGGAAGAAUAAGCCCCGGCUAACUUCGUG